This 425-nucleotide ribosomal RNA is filed under the name uncultured cyanobacterium. RNAcentral's name for it is "bacterial SSU rRNA". It matches the Rfam family "Bacterial small subunit ribosomal RNA", at positions 356 to 795 of the family's 1533-position model. The record is from RNAcentral. Lineage: Bacteria; Bacillati; Cyanobacteriota.
GGGGAAUUUUCCGCAAUGGGCGAAAGCCUGACGGAGCAACGCCGCGUGAGGGAAGAAGGCCUCUGGGCUGUAAACCUCUUUUCUCAAGGAAGAAGAUCUGACGGUACUUGAGGAAUAAGCCACGGCUAAUUCCGUGCCAGCAGCCGCGGUAAGANCGGAGGAUGCAAGUGUUAUCCGGAAUCACUGGGCGUAAAGCGUCUGUAGGUGGUUUAAUAAGUCAACUGUUAAAUCUUGGAGCUCAACUUCAAAAUCGCAGUCGAAACUAUUAGACUAGAGUAUAGUAGGGGUAAAGGGAAUUUCCAGUGGAGCGGUGAAAUGCGUAGAGAUUGGAAAGAACACCGAUGGCGAAGGCACUUUACUGGGCUAUUACUGACACUCAGAGACGAAAGCUAGGGUAGCAAAUGGGAUUAGAUACCCCAGUAGUC